UACGUAGGGACCGAGCGUUGUCCGGAAUCAUUGGGCGUAAAGAGCGUGUAGGCGGCUUGCUAAGUCUUGCGUGAAAUCUCGGGGCUCAACCCCGAGCGGUCGUGGGAAACUGGCAGGCUAGAGUGCGGGAGAGGAGAAUGGAAUUCCUGGUGUAGCGGUGAAAUGCGCAGAUAUCAGGAAGAACACCCGUGGCGAAGGCGGUUCUCUGGAACGCGACUGACGCUGAGACGCGAAAGCGUGGGGAGCAAACAGG
Molecule: ribosomal RNA, 253 nt
Filed under: uncultured bacterium
Lineage: Bacteria
Description: partial 16S ribosomal RNA
Rfam family: Bacterial small subunit ribosomal RNA
Source: RNAcentral